This is a long non-coding RNA of Haemorhous mexicanus (house finch), 604 nucleotides long. RefSeq lists it as uncharacterized. The record is from RefSeq and is a predicted model, not a curated record. The transcript has 4 exons. NCBI's taxonomy places the organism in Eukaryota, Metazoa, Chordata, Aves, Passeriformes, Fringillidae.
GGCAAUUCCUGAGCACAGGAGUCAAGCUAGGCCAGGAACUAGUCCCAGCAGAAACUGUGGAGAAGGCCAUGCUCUUUUGGAAGCUGAGAAUGGACAGAUGCACUCCAUGCAGUUGAAGCUUCAGAAAAUGAAUUGCAGACCAGCUCUCUUUUGAACUGAGACUUUGGUUCCUUUUGAAUGACAACCCUGCCUUCCAGCAUGUCAGCAGCUUCCUCCAGUUUGGUGUGAUGGAAGCUAAGGAUGCCUUUCCUCACAGCACUCAGGUGGCUGUUAGAUAUACUGUCCCAGAACUGAAUCACAGAACACACUCAUCAUUGGCCCCCAGCUGUCCUUUGCACCACUGAGUACAACCCUCCAAGCACAACAGUCCAGCAGAUCUUCCCACCAACCCUGUGUCCAUCCAUCUCCUCACAUCUCCUCAGCUCUGAGGACACUGUGAUAGAAGACGUCCAAAGCCUUAUGGAAAUCAAGCACAGAGGAAACCAAUUCUGCUUUCUGCACACCUUCUCCACCAGCAGCCACGGAGAUCUGCCAAGUGCAGACUGAAAGGGAAUCUCUCACCCAGUAGCUCAUCAGAGAAGAUCACAACCAUCAGCCAGUUGAG